This 492-nucleotide ribosomal RNA is filed under the name uncultured stramenopile. RNAcentral's name for it is "bacterial SSU rRNA". It matches the Rfam family "Eukaryotic small subunit ribosomal RNA", at positions 73 to 565 of the family's 1831-position model. The record is from RNAcentral.
UCUAUACUGUGAAACUGCGGNUGGCUCAAUANAUCAGUUAUAGUUUAUUUGAUAAUUACUUUACUACUUGGAUAACCGUAUUAAUUCUAGAGCUAAGUACAUGCGAUCAGAGUUUAUCUUUAGUGAUAAACUGUAUUUAUUAGAUACAAACCAUCCUAGCUUGCUAGUCAUAUGGUGAUUCAUAAUAACUAAGCUAAACCAUUCUUUCGGGAGUGGUUACAUCAUUCAAGUUUCUGCCCUAUCAGCUUUGGAUGGUAGUGUAUUGGACUACCAUGGCCUUGACGGGUAACGGAGAAUCAGGGUUCGAUUCCGGAGAGGGAGCCUGAGAGAUGGCUACCACAUCCAAGGAAGGCAGCAGGCGCGUAAAUUACCCAAUCCUGACAUAGGGAGGUAGUGACAAUAAAUAACAAUGCUGGGCUUUUCGAAGUUUAGCAAUUGGAAUGAGAACAAUUUAAAUCCCUUAUCGAGGAUCAAUUGGAGGGCAAGUCUGGU